This is a long non-coding RNA of Melanotaenia boesemani (Boeseman's rainbowfish), 1583 nucleotides long. RefSeq lists it as uncharacterized. NCBI's taxonomy places the organism in Eukaryota, Metazoa, Chordata, Actinopteri, Atheriniformes, Melanotaeniidae. The transcript has 4 exons. The record is from RefSeq and is a predicted model, not a curated record.
UAUAAAAUGCCUUAUAAUGGCAGACGACAUGACUUGGUGUGUUAUUAAUAUGUUAUUUCAUGAGAGCAGCUUGUUUUAACAUGAUGAGUUUAUUCUUCAAACAUGGAUCUAAAAUAAAGAAUAAAGUCUGAACAUAACAGCUGAACUUUGUUUUUCUUUUUCUCUCAUUUUCAGCUGAAACUCAACAAUUUUCUGACACGACUGCGACGGUUGGAGAUGACGUCACUUUGACUUGUGAAGGUUUCAGAGAAUUUAAUGAUCAAUGUUUCAGUACUACAUGGCUCUACAGUGUCUCAGGAAAAACAGUGACACUGUAUGAACAUGGGAAGAUUCACAGAGAAGCUGGAUCUAAAUCAGACAGACUGAAUGUUACAGAAAAAUGUUUCCUGGUUAUAAAGAAGGUCACAGUGGAGGAUGAAGGUCGUUACACCUGCAGACAGGAUGAAUCAUCAGGAGGUGUCAUUACAUGGUCUACAGUUGUACUUUCUGUUACUAACAGAAGGACCUCGUCACCAGUCCCCCCGAUGUCCACACCACCAUCAACUGGAGCUAAAACUGAAACACAUCCAGGUUGUUGGUGGAGGAUGGUCUAUGUUCCUGUGGCUGUAGCAGCGCUCUCCAUCAUCGUUGUGUCCGUCAGCAUGUGGACGAGAACAAAAGGUUAGCAGUGAUGAGGAUGAUGAUGAAGAUGGUGUGGUGAGCCACACAAAUGACCUGCAGUCAUUUCAAAGUGCAGCAGCUGGAUCUUAACUUGGUUGAAAAUGAGAUUUUUCUUGUCUUGUUGUGUCUUUUCUCUUCCAGAGAACUCACUGUGUUCACAUUGAUCAGGUUUUGUUGUUGGUGUGUUUGUCAGCUCUGACUUAUAAUAACAAUUUAUCCCUAAAUAUCUGAAUAUGUUGUAAAUAAGUUUAUACGCAAAGUUAAACCAGGUUUUUUUUUUCUGUAGUUCAUGUAAGUUGGUACAAACUAUUUUUAAAGAAGCAAUUAAAAAUCCUAGAUAACAACCCGGGAGUAAAUUUUCAUGUAUCUUUACAUUGCAUAAAAUAUUAAACUAUUUGUUAACAAUCAUGGUUUGUGAUUCAUGGUUUCAGAAAUAACUAAAGAUAUUAAAGACCUGAAUAAUCAAUAUGAUCUAUAUUUUCCAUGAAGUUCCACAGGAACAGUCUAAUGAUGAAGUAAUGAUGAAGUGCUGAGUAAUUAGUCUGUAUGAUGCUUCUCUUAACUGGAAGAGACAUCAGAAUAAUGUUGUGUAAGGAUAUAUGGUUUAGAAAUAAGCCCCGCCCCUCCCACAGUAAAUUUAAUUCAUGGACUGUUUAUCUGAAAUGUGUGAUCACAGUUUAGUUCAGUCAGAUACUUAUUGUUGUGUUUUCUGUCCACAGACUGAGUUCAUUGUUUAAGCAAAACUGUUAACAAGGUGUAGUGUCCAAUAUUGGCCACAAGGGGGCGUGUACCAUUCAUAUGGUAAUGAACAGUCUGACCUGCAGAAAGGAAAUACAGUCUUACCUCCUGCUGGCAGUUGGGAAUCUGGAUUUGCUGACAUUGAUUUCUUUGCUGGUGUUUAAUUCCAUUAAAAAAUGAAUAAA